UUUGUGUGUCAAACCAAGGAGUUUUAAUGGACAAUCCUACCUCCUUGUUCAAACAGAACUUCGCUUGGCCCUAAAUGUUGACCUGGCCUAGAUGGCCUGGAUUAAUAACUGUAUGAACUUUGAACUCUAAAUCUAUAGAUCUGAGAGUGUGAUAGAUGACAAUGCCGUGCAGGCAAAGCAGAGUGUAGGCAUACACACGUUGGUAGUAUAAAUAUAGGCUGCUUCAUCUCAUGUGUGCGUGUUGUAAACAGCAUCGUGGUUAGAAUGAGAUUUGUAAGCUAAUCUGAAAAGACACAGAAUUACUCAAAAUUAACUUGUCUUGAGACUUGACAUAAACAUGGCAGCACAAACUACAGUCCAGCAUGAGCAAGGAGCCGAAGAUCCUGCCGUUACCAACUUUAGACGAUACCUUCGCAUCAAGACUGUGGAACCUGAUCCAGACUAUGCUGGAGCAAUAGAAUUUUUGAAAGAGAUGGCCGGGGAAAUGGGAUUACCAUUACAGUGCAUUGAGGUGCAUCCUGGGAAGACCAUUGUCAUCAUCACAUGGGAAGGAACCUACCCCACCCUCAAGAGCAUCAUUCUCAACUCACACAUAGAUGUUGUUCCAGCCUCUGCAGACCAUUGGAAAUGUGAUCCAUUUGAAGCUAAGAAAAUGGAAAAUGGGGACAUUUAUGCUAGAGGCACCCAGGACAUGAAGUGUGUUGGAAUUCAGUACUUGGAGGCGAUCCGGAGGCUGAUCAAGAAAGGGCAACGAUUGCUUCGCACAGUCCACAUGCUUUUUGUCCCAGAUGAAGAACUUGGAGGAUUCAAGGGAAUGAAGCUGUUUGUUCAGACACCUCAAUUUCAGAAACUCAACAUGGGGUUUGGACUAGAUGAAGGUCUUGCCAACCCAACAGAAAAGUUUACAUUGUUCUAUGGAGAAAGAGCAACAUGGUGGAUCGAUGUGAUUUGCACUGGAGAUCCUGGUCAUGCUUCAAAGUUUGUAGAAGACACAGCUGCAGAAAAGGCACGAAAAGUCAUGAAUGCAUUCCUGGGCUAUAGAGAUGAAGAAAUGAAGAGGUUGAGUACAGAAAAAUUGGGAGAUAUUCAGACUGUGAAUUUGGUGCGGAUGUCGGGAGGUGUGGCUAACAACAUUGUUCCUAUUGAACUGAGACUGCGCUUUGAUCUCCGACUCUCCCCACAGCAAACACCAGAGUUUCUUGAGAACAAGAUCAAGGAAAUGAUAGCAUCUGCAGGGGAAGGUGUGUCCUUUGAGUGGAUCAGGAAAGGAGUCUGCUACUCAACACCUCUGGAUGACAAAAAUGUCUGGUGGCAAACCUUCAAAAAAGUUUGUGAUGAGAAAAAGCUGGAAUUGGAAACUGGGGUGUUUCAAGCAGCGACCGAUAGCUGCUACAUCCGAGCUUUGGGGAUUCCUGUUAUCGGAUUCUCACCCAUCAAUAAUACUCCCAUACUUCUUCAUGAUCACAAUGAAUACCUUAAUGAAGGCGUCUUCUUACGAGGCAUCAACAUCUAUGAAUCUCUCAUUUCAGCCAUAGCCAUUGUGCCUGAGUAGUUGCUGCCUUGUUGCCCAUGCCAGCACUAUCAUCAAACAUUUUAGUAUCAGCACUAUAAAGCUGGAAUUAGAGACACAGGUGUGCCCAGGUGCAACCGAUGCGAGCUAUAUCCGUUCUUUGGGAAUCCCUGUUUUAGGAUUCUCACCCAUGCCUACCACUCCCAUACUUCUUCAUGAUCACAAUGAAUACCUUAAUGAAGGCGUCUUUCUCCGAGGAAUCAACAUCUAUGAAUCCAUCAUUCCAGCUUUAGCUAGUGUUCCUUAGUUUGUUGAUGCUUUGUACCCAUAGCAACAACCCCAGCAAUAUCAUCCAAUACUGCUGUACGAGAGCCUUAAUUGUAUGUGAUACACACAUAUACAAGUUGCUUUUGAUAGUAUAUACUAAUUUUUAAAACUAAUUGCCUUGGCCUUUACCAAGACAAAUUUCUUCAUGGUAUUGAGAUAUCUCGAAUGGCAUCCCUAUAGCUAAUGCCCCAAAACACGAGUAUUGAUAUGAUACAACAGUGAUAUAAUAACGACGUAUUAAAAACUUUUAUCAUUGCAAUUUUUUUUUAAUGGCCUUUUUGUUCUUAACGGAUCGAUUGAGUUACUGAGGAAGGAUACAAGCUUUAGAAUUUAAAGGAAUAGAAUAUCAGGGGUAAUAAAAGCAUGUUUAUUUGUUAUACCCAUUAUUGCAUUUAUAUAUCUGUCUCAUUAAAGUUACACACCAUGAAUUUUUGUCCAUUCUAGUCAUUUUCAAACUUGUGCGAGAUCAAAUUUAAGAUAAAUCCAUUUGGGACAAUUCUGUCCAGAUUGUAGAUAUUUUCAAUACCACAUUAAUCUAAAUUGAAAAGUAUGAAAAUAUUAUCAAGAGACUGAUACUGCUUGAUAACAAAAUAUAUACUAUUUUGCCAACAUUUGUACCCAUAUCUACCUAUUUUGUAGAUUUGUUAAUCAUAUAUCUAUAUUUUGAAAAAUUGCCAAAUGUGUGUAUAUACUUGCCUAUCCUAUUUUUGUCAGGGGAUUUUAAUUUGUGUAUUGGAAAGCAAUAUGUGUUCAAUUUGUUGUUUGACUAUGUUAUUUGAGGUGAAUUACAUACAAAUAAAUGCUGAUACACAUAUAUAAUAAAUGUUUUUUACCAGAUAA
This is an RNA transcript of Strongylocentrotus purpuratus (purple sea urchin), 2677 nucleotides long. It is a transcript of the gene named aminoacylase-1, with no coding region annotated. The transcript is spliced from 16 exons. Lineage: Eukaryota; Metazoa; Echinodermata; Echinoidea; Camarodonta; Strongylocentrotidae. The record is from RefSeq and is a predicted model, not a curated record.